GCAAACUUGGUCAUUUAGAGGAAGUAAAAGUCGUAACAAGGUUUCCGUAGGUGAACCUGCGGAAGGAUCAUUAUUGAAUAAAUCUGGCGUGGUUGUAGCUGGCUCUCAGGAGCAAGUGCUCGCCCGUCACCUUUAUCUUUCCACCUGUGCACACACUGUAGUCCUGGAUACCUCUCGCCGAAAGGCGGAUGCGGAGGCUGCUGAGCUCGCAAGAGCCAAGCUUCCUCUGAAUUUCCAGGUCUAUGAUUUUUACACACCCCAAACGAAUGUCUUAGAAUGUUUUCAUAAGGCCUUGUGCCUAUAAACCUAUACAACUUUCAGCAACGGAUCUCUUGGCUCUCGCAUCGAUGAAGAACGCAGC
Molecule: unclassified non-coding RNA, 361 nt
Filed under: uncultured fungus
Lineage: Eukaryota; Fungi
Description: partial contains small subunit ribosomal RNA, internal transcribed spacer 1, and 5.8S ribosomal RNA
Rfam family: Eukaryotic small subunit ribosomal RNA (bases 1-73)
Source: RNAcentral